RNAcentral lists this ribosomal RNA (253 nucleotides) under uncultured bacterium. Its description in RNAcentral is "partial 16S ribosomal RNA". It matches the Rfam family "Bacterial small subunit ribosomal RNA", at positions 524 to 775 of the family's 1533-position model. The record is from RNAcentral.
UACGUAGGGUGCAAGCGUUAAUCGGAAUUACUGGGCGUAAAGCGUGCGCAGGCGGUUCUAUAAGACAGAUGUGAAAUCCCCGGGCUCAACCUGGGAACUGCAUUUGUGACUGUAGAGCUGGAGUGCGGCAGAGGGGGAUGGAAUUCCGCGUGUAGCAGUGAAAUGCGUAGAUAUGCGGAGGAACACCGAUGGCGAAGGCAAUCCCCUGGGCCUGCACUGACGCUCCAUGCACGAAAGCGUGGGGAGCAACAGG